UAUUGAUGAACAUUGUGCGGGUAGCUGGUCGGUGGACUCCGGUCGGUGAGUGGGGUACGUCACACCCCAAUCUCAAUGUUUAAGACUUCAAUUCCAACAACUGUAGAAUCAUCUUCAGUGUUGAAUUUAAAUAUCUGAGGAUUGCAGUGCAAGCUGCAUAAAGUAGGACAUGUUUAAUCUUACUAAACCCUAACCACACUUCCACAAGAUUAAAAGGCCAAAAUGAGAAAUAUUCCAGUACAAAAUCUUCCUCGCCUUACAGUUUAUUUUGAUGAUUGUCAGCAUAUUUAUUUUGAUGAUUGUCAGCAUAGUUUUACCUAUUUAACACUAGGAUAGACUUUAAUGGCAUUACCAUCUAUAAAGAGACAGUUUUAAAAUUCAAGUCCCUGAUUCAUUUCAUGUCUUCAAGGUUGAGAAAUGGGAGUGUUGGUGGAGUGGUAGUACCUUUGUGUUAUCACCAAUACUCUGGUCCACACACCACACUUAGCUCACUUUCAGCCUCCAUGAUGCCA
This is a long non-coding RNA of Saccostrea echinata, 512 nucleotides long. RefSeq lists it as uncharacterized. The transcript is spliced from 2 exons. The record is from RefSeq and is a predicted model, not a curated record. NCBI's taxonomy places the organism in Eukaryota, Metazoa, Mollusca, Bivalvia, Ostreida, Ostreidae.